UUUCAGAGAAAAGGACCACAAACUGAAAACUUUCCACUUCAUCGAACCAAUCGCUGCUCGUAUGUCCUUUCAUGGUAAAGUACAUCUAGUCAUGAACAAAGAAAUACACAGCAAAGACCUUGUUACUCAAAGACCCAGCUACUCUCUGACAGUCACCAUCACACCAUCAGACCACCAGAUGGACAGGCUGUAUGUCACUCUGAUUGCAUUCUUAUGUGCUGUUUCCUCCAGUCAGGAUGGGAUCUCUGCAGCAGAGGUGGAGCUGAGAGUCAGACCAGGAGACAACAUCACUCUCUACUGUGAC
This 304-nucleotide long non-coding RNA is filed under the name Salmo salar (Atlantic salmon). RNAcentral's name for it is "lncRNA (ENSSSAG00000082075.1)". Lineage: Eukaryota; Metazoa; Chordata; Actinopteri; Salmoniformes; Salmonidae. The record is from RNAcentral.